RNAcentral lists this ribosomal RNA (472 nucleotides) under uncultured bacterium. RNAcentral's name for it is "partial 16S ribosomal RNA". It matches the Rfam family "Bacterial small subunit ribosomal RNA", at positions 28 to 507 of the family's 1533-position model. The record is from RNAcentral.
GACGAACGCUGGCGGCGUGCUUAACACAUGCAAGUCGAACGCUGAAGCUUGGUGCUUGCACUGGGUGGAUGAGUGGCGAACGGGUGAGUAAUACGUGAGUAACCUGCCCUUGACUCUGGGAUAAGCCUGGGAAACUGGGUCUAAUACUGGAUAUGACAUGCAACUGCAUGGUGGUGUUUGGAAAGGGUUUUACUGGUUUUGGAUGGGCUCACGGCCUAUCAGCUUGUUGGUGGGGUAAUGGCCUACCAAGGCGACGACGGGUAGCCGGCCUGAGAGGGUGACCGGCCACACUGGGACUGAGACACGGCCCAGACUCCUACGGGAGGCAGCAGUGGGGAAUAUUGCACAAUGGGCGGAAGCCUGAUGCAGCGACGCCGCGUGAGGGAUGACGGCCUUCGGGUUGUAAACCUCUUUCAGCACGGAAGAAGCGAGAGUGACGGUACGUGCAGAAGAAGCGCCGGCUAACUACGUG